Molecule: non-coding RNA, 198 nt
Filed under: Roseburia sp.
Lineage: Bacteria; Bacillati; Bacillota; Clostridia; Lachnospirales; Lachnospiraceae
Source: RNAcentral
AAGAAAGUAAGUGUUUCAGGUGUCAGAGUACAGUAUGCUGUAUGCUCUGAUGAAAAGGGAAACAGGUGCAAAUCCUGUACGAACUCGUCACUGUGAUAAGGGAGUUACCAGAAAAGAAGCCACUAAAGCAAUUUGGGAAGGCGUUCUGGGCGGCAAAGAUCUUUUAGUCAGGAGACCUGCCUGAGAUAUGGUACAUAA